This 462-nucleotide ribosomal RNA is filed under the name uncultured bacterium. RNAcentral describes it as "bacterial SSU rRNA". It matches the Rfam family "Bacterial small subunit ribosomal RNA", at positions 30 to 483 of the family's 1533-position model. The record is from RNAcentral.
AUUGAACGCUGGCGGCAUGCCUUACACAUGCAAGUCGAACGGCAGCACGGGAGCAAUCCUGGUGGCGAGUGGCGAACGGGUGAGUAAUAUAUCGGAACGUGCCCAGUCGUGGGGGAUAACGCAGCGAAAGUUGUGCUAAUACCGCAUACGAUCUAUGGAUGAAAGCGGGGGAUCGCAAGACCUCGCGCGAUUGGAGCGGCCGAUAUCAGAUUAGGUUGUUGGUGAGGUAAAAGCUCACCAAGCCUGCGAUCUGUAGCUGGUCUGAGAGGACGACCAGCCACACUGGAACUGAGACACGGUCCAGACUCCUACGGGAGGCAGCAGUCGAGAAUAGUCUACAAUGGUCGAAAGACUGAUAGUGCGACGCCGCGUGAACGAAGAAGCCCUUCGGGGUGUAAAGUUCUUUUAUAUGUGAGCAGUGACAUCUAUAUUAAUAGUAUGGGUGUAGAGAUAUUAGCAUAU